ACUUCCCUGUUGUGUGCGAAUAAAAAUCGGAUUUUUUGAGCCAACAUUUUGUAAAAGGGGUCGAUGAAUCCGCUGUGGUGUGCAGGCCUUCUUCGGAAGGAAGCCUAAAGCAGUAUACGGAAACCCCACCUGUCCUUGACAGGUUCAAAAAAUGGUUUUUAUCCGGCAUAAACGGGGAAGUG
RNAcentral lists this non-coding RNA (182 nucleotides) under Motiliproteus sp. Its description in RNAcentral is "6S RNA". It matches the Rfam family "6S / SsrS RNA". From Rfam's summary of the family: E. coli 6S RNA was the first non coding RNA to be sequenced, but its function was unknown until recently. RNAcentral also lists the same sequence under 3 other names. The record is from RNAcentral. Lineage: Bacteria; Pseudomonadati; Pseudomonadota; Gammaproteobacteria; Oceanospirillales; Oceanospirillaceae.